GACGAACGCUGGCGGCGUGCUUAACACAUGCAAGUCGAACGGAGCUAUUUAUUUCGGUAAAUCGCUUAGUGGCAAACGGGUGAGUAACGCGUAGGCAACCUGCCCUCAGGAUGGGGACAACGGCUCGAAAGAGCCGCUAAUACCGAAUGACGUAACUCUUCCACAUGGAAGAGAUACUAAAGAUGGGUCAAACCAUCGCCUAAGGAUGGGCCUGCGUCUGAUUAGCCAGUUGGUGAGGUAACGGCUCACCAAAGCGACGAUCAGUAGCCGGUCUGAGAGGAUGAACGGCCACAAUGGGACUGAGACACGGCCCAUACUCCUACGGGAGGCAGCAGUGGGGAAUCUUCCGCAAUGGGCGAAAGCCUGACGGAGCAACGCCGCGUGAGUGAAGAAGGUCUUCGGAUCGUAAAGCUCUGUUGUCGGGGACGAAAGAGUAGACGAGGAAAUGCGUCUACUAAGACGGU
RNAcentral lists this ribosomal RNA (464 nucleotides) under Veillonellaceae bacterium oral taxon 155. RNAcentral's name for it is "bacterial SSU rRNA". It matches the Rfam family "Bacterial small subunit ribosomal RNA", at positions 28 to 476 of the family's 1533-position model. The record is from RNAcentral. Lineage: Bacteria; Bacillati; Bacillota; Negativicutes; Veillonellales; Veillonellaceae.